Molecule: ribosomal RNA, 305 nt
Filed under: uncultured bacterium
Lineage: Bacteria
Description: bacterial SSU rRNA
Rfam family: Bacterial small subunit ribosomal RNA
Source: RNAcentral
CCUACGGGAGGCAGCAGUGGGGAAUAUUGCACAAUGGGGGAAACCCUGAUGCAGCGACGCCGCGUGAGUGAAGAAGUAAUUCGUUAUGUAAAGCUCUAUCAGCAGGGAAGAAAAUGACAGUACCUAUAGAAUAAGCUCCGGCUAACUACGUGCCAGCAGCCGCGGUAAUACGUAGGGAGCGAGCGUUAUCCGGAUUUAUUGGGUGUAAAGGGUGCGUAGAUGGAUAAACAAGUUGGUUGUGAAAUCCCUCGGCUUAACUGAGGAAUUGCAACCAAAACUGUAGAUCUUGAGUACUGGAGGGGAAA